AGUAGGAGAACUACUUGUGAUGGAAUUGCCUGGUGAAACUUUUCUCUGUCCAAGCACUCCAAAUCUUUAAAGACAAAGAAAACACUGCUCCCCAGUAAAGUGGCAUGCCACCAUGGAAGAAUAAUUUUCCUGUGCCAGGUGGUACUAAGGAACAGGCCAUCCAUGACGAUCUUUGUGAAGAAGGGGGUGAGCGUUUGUGAGCCCAGUGCCUUCAUAGCAGGACAAGAUGGCUACAACCACUCAGCCCUUGGAACUCUUGGUAGCUAAAAGCCUGAGUAAGGCUUGUGGCUGCUUGGUGGAAUGGCUGCCUGCAAGGAAAUAAUCCUUUUGUGGGCUUAUGACACCUGAAGAACAAGGCCCUCCUGAUGGGAAGGACUCCAUGCAAAGUGUCUAAGGCAGAAGCCAGCUUUCAGCUCUGUGAGUCCAGCUUUAUAAGGUUCUAUUUUAAGGAUGAAGAUACCAGAGACUCUGUAAGUUACUGAAUCCAGUCCUUUUCCUGGACUUCUCAAAUACUACUCUUUUGUGCCUGAACAUGUAUUGGUGUGGCUUCAGCAUUUGGAUUGUCCAACCUGACUUCCAUGUUAUCUGGUUGAAUUUUGCUUCUUUGAAUCCUGGACUGUUGUUGAUUCUGCUUUUGAACCACCCUUGGUUGACUAGGCUGCUUUCUGGUUUAGAUGUAGCUUUGGAGUUCAUCUCGAACAGGAAAUGAGGGAUGGAGUAAACAGAGGGAAAUGCUGAAUUGGCACAGAGAUCGAUAAAGAAAUACCAGGAACAGGUUGAAAAAAGGAGAUCCCUGAAUGGAGAAAGUUUCUACCCCUUACAAAGUGGGUACCUCUGUUAUCUAUAAUGUCUGUGGGUGCUGACCAUAUCUGUAAGACUGAAGCAUAGCCAAUUGAAACAUAACAUGGACACUAAGCAGACCCCAAGGUUCAGGGUAUUUGUUUUCUAUACACACCAACAAUGUUUUUAUCCUUGGUACCCCCAAAAUGUGAUUAUAGACUUUUGUAUACUACACUGCAUUACAAAGGCUAGUUUAAGCUAUGUGAAGUUGAGGCUGUUACCUUGUAUUAAGCAUAGGUUUUUAAGGCUGGUAUUAAGUAUAAAAUUCAAACUUUAC
Pogona vitticeps (central bearded dragon) is the source of this 1117-nucleotide long non-coding RNA. RefSeq lists it as uncharacterized. The record is from RefSeq and is a predicted model, not a curated record. NCBI's taxonomy places the organism in Eukaryota, Metazoa, Chordata, Lepidosauria, Squamata, Agamidae.